UUCUGAAUUCUGACAAAAAAAUGUGAAGCAUACUUUGCUUUAUCCAUUUGAAACAUUUUUUUGACAAAUACUUUUAUUUCAAUCUUAUAGACAUAGAUUUCACGAAGGCUACUACUUCAAACUUUACUCGAUGAAUCCUUACCUUAAAGCUUCUGCUCCCAUGAUUGGAAUGGUGUAAUAUUUGUCAAUUAUUUUUGAAUUACUG
RNAcentral lists this long non-coding RNA (205 nucleotides) under Brassica rapa (field mustard). RNAcentral describes it as "long non-coding RNA (BRAP_LNC004298)". Lineage: Eukaryota; Viridiplantae; Streptophyta; Magnoliopsida; Brassicales; Brassicaceae. The record is from RNAcentral.